This 28-nucleotide non-coding RNA is filed under the name Homo sapiens (human). The record is from RNAcentral. Lineage: Eukaryota; Metazoa; Chordata; Mammalia; Primates; Hominidae.
UGUACCAUUUGGGUUCUGAAUUUGAGGA